AGCAGUAGCCGCGGUAAUACGUAGGUGGCAAGCGUUGUCCGGAAUUAUUGGGCGUAAAGGGCUCGCAGGCGGUUUCUUAAGUCUGAUGUGAAAGCCCCCGGCUCAACCGGGGAGGGUCAUUGGAAACUGGGAAACUUGAGUGCAGAAGAGGAGAGUGGAAUUCCACGUGUAGCGGUGAAAUGCGUAGAGAUGUGGAGGAACACCAGUGGCGAAGGCGACUCUCUGGUCCGUAACUGACGCUGAGGAGCGAAAGCGUGGGGAGCGAACAGGAUUAGAUACCCCCGUAGUCCCUGUCUCUUAUAC
RNAcentral lists this ribosomal RNA (303 nucleotides) under uncultured bacterium. Its description in RNAcentral is "partial 16S ribosomal RNA". It matches the Rfam family "Bacterial small subunit ribosomal RNA", at positions 507 to 807 of the family's 1533-position model. The record is from RNAcentral.